GGGGAAUAUUGCGCAAUGGCCGAAAGGCUGACGCAGCGACGCCGCGUGGGGGAUGAAGCAUUUCGGUGUGUAAACCCCUGUUGCCCGGGACGAACAAGCAGAUUUUUCUGCUCUGACGGUACCGGGUGAGGAAGCACCGGCUAACUCCGUGCCAGCAGCCGCGGUAAUACGGAGGGUGCGAGCGUUGUCCGGAAUCACUGGGCGUAAAGGGCGCGUAGGCGGUCCGCUAAGCGUGCGGUGAAAGCCCGGGGCUCAACCCCGGGUCUGCCGUGCGAACUGGUGGACUAGAGCACUGUAGAGGCAGGUGGAAUUCCGGGUGUAGCGGUGGAAUGCGUAGAGAUCCGGAAGAACACCGGUGGCGAAGGCGGCCUGCUGGGCAGUAGCUGACGCUGAGGCGCAACAGCGUGGGGAGCAAACA
RNAcentral lists this ribosomal RNA (418 nucleotides) under uncultured bacterium. RNAcentral's name for it is "bacterial SSU rRNA". It matches the Rfam family "Bacterial small subunit ribosomal RNA", at positions 356 to 774 of the family's 1533-position model. The record is from RNAcentral.